AGCAUGUUUGAGCACUACUGACCGGAAAGGAAGUCCUUUGAGAUGAGCUGUCCGGACAUAUUGUGAGGUCAUUACUUCGCUCAUUGACGCACGCGUCAUGCGCGCGAUGUAACCCAUGCCGUAAAUUGACAUAGUCAUCACCGGCAGGGUAAAAUUUUCAAAAGU
This 165-nucleotide non-coding RNA is filed under the name marine eukaryotic metagenome. The record is from RNAcentral.